This 252-nucleotide ribosomal RNA is filed under the name uncultured bacterium. Its description in RNAcentral is "partial 16S ribosomal RNA". It matches the Rfam family "Bacterial small subunit ribosomal RNA", at positions 525 to 776 of the family's 1533-position model. The record is from RNAcentral.
ACGGAGGGUGCAAGCGUUGUCCGGAAUCACUGGGUGUAAAGGGUGUGUAGGCGGGAUUGUAAGUCAGAGGUGAAAUCCUACAGCUCAACUGUAGAACUGCCUUUGAUACUGCAAUUCUUGAGUUUCGGAGAGGUCAUUAGAAUUCGUGGUGUAGCGGUGAAAUGCGUAGAUAUCACGAGGAAUACCAGAGGCGUAGGCGGAUGACUGGACGAAUACUGACGCUGAGGCACGAAAGCGUGGGGAGCAAACAGG